This 382-nucleotide small RNA is filed under the name Histoplasma ohiense. RNAcentral's name for it is "hypothetical lncRNA". Lineage: Eukaryota; Fungi; Ascomycota; Eurotiomycetes; Onygenales; Ajellomycetaceae. The record is from RNAcentral.
CUGCUAUUAUUACCUGUGCCGUCAGAGGUUAAUACCUCCGCUACAAUAAAAAUGUUGGAAACCAGCCUGUGGGGAGGCCGUCGAAGUGCCGCGUUGGUGGUAUUCUCUUUCGUUCGUCAUACCCUGGCGGGGUAGUUCCAGUGUUCCUGAAGAAGUCCAUCAUCAAUCGGGACUUCGGCUGGUCAAGUUGAGCCCUCUAGCGGCAUGUACAUGUACGAAAGCUAGUCCGAUGACUCAGGAUAUCUCCUAUAUUCCAGAUUGUCCUCCAACCGGUCCAUGACGCACAUGCCCUGUGGUGUCAUUUUGUGGGCCUAGAUGACAGAUGGGUGAGCAGCAAGAGAGUAGUUAUUCCCUUUAGGCGGUGCCCGGGUCUAUAAGAGAC